This 253-nucleotide ribosomal RNA is filed under the name uncultured bacterium. RNAcentral describes it as "partial 16S ribosomal RNA". It matches the Rfam family "Bacterial small subunit ribosomal RNA", at positions 524 to 776 of the family's 1533-position model. The record is from RNAcentral.
UACAGAGGGGGCAAGCGUUAUUCGGAAUUAUUGGGCGUAAAGGGCGCGUAGGCGGCCUGGCAAGUGGAAGGUGAAAUCCCUCGGCUUAACCGAGGAACUGCCCUCCAAACUGCUUGGCUUGAGUCCGGGAGAGGUGAGUGGAAUUCCCAGUGUAGCGGUGAAAUGCGUAGAUAUUGGGAAGAACACCCAUGGCGAAGGCAGCUGACUGGGCAUUAUCUGACGCUGAGGCGCGAAAGCGUGGGUAGCGAACAGG